ACGCAAUACAAAAUUUCAAAGCCACUUAGUACUAGUAGUUACAUACAUUACUAUAAAUGUUUAGUUGAAAGGGUUGGGUUGAAUUAGAAGGCUCCCUCUUUUAGGGGCGGAGAAAUUAGAAAAGGAUUUAAAGGGACCUAUAGUGGGAAGGAAUCCUGAAGUGGGUUUUGCCUUGUUGAGGCAAAAAAGAAAGGACCCUUGUUCUUCUUCCAUCCAUCAUCAAUCAGUGCUAGUCAAAAAAUAAGAAAUGGGUUAUCAGUAGACCCAAAGAAUAAGGUAUAUAUGGCCUUAAAUAUGAUACUCGUUUCUUUUCAGAUCAUCAUUUAAAGUUGCCCUCCCUUGUUUCUUUAUAUAAAGAAACUGUGCUUAUUGGUUGACCGCCUUUCCUUAUCAAUUUGUAAUGUGGUAAUGAAGUUUUGUUCAAAUAUUUGAAAAUGGUUCAGUCUUUGGCAUCAUAUCAUAAACUACAGCCUACUCCUGCCAUUUCUCAAGCACUGGCUUGAAUAAACCCAUUGAAUUUCAAGGCUCUUGAUCAUGAUUCGUAAGAGAAGAAACCUUACUUAAGUUCAAUCGUUCCUUUAAGGUCAAACUAAAAUCCCAAGAUUGAUGGUAAAAUCUCAAAUCUAGUGAUUAACAACACAAUUAUUGUUAAACGCCUCCAAAUGAUAGUUAACUGAUAAAAGAGAAAAAAACUACUCAAAUUUUUUUUGGGUGCUUCUUACAAGAAAGUUAACACAUUAUGAUGACUUAGAGCAAAUAUUGGCGUAAUUAGAUGGCCAGAAGAAAAGAAAAUUUGAACUCUAUAAGGCUGAGCAUAUAUGAUUAUGAUCCAGUUGUUUGGCUUCCCAGCUGCCAGUUGUCCUAAAAUUUGCAGGUAUUUGACACUUUUACCUGACGUUCGUUGCUUCUUUUUUCUGUUUCCCCUUUUAAGAAGAAGAAGCAGAACAAAUUCAAAUUGCAUUUGCAGAAAAACAAUGAUGCCCUCUCCAACUAAUUGUUCAUUUUAAGUACUCUUUGUUUCUGUAUCUCAUUCAACCAAAGAAGGCUCCAUGCCGUUACAAUUUUCUCAUUGUUUAAAGUAUUAUCAUUGGGGUUGGAUUUCAACCAAACUUAUUUGAGUUCGAUUUUGACUCUAA
Long non-coding RNA from Mangifera indica (mango), 1136 nucleotides. RefSeq lists it as uncharacterized. NCBI's taxonomy places the organism in Eukaryota, Viridiplantae, Streptophyta, Magnoliopsida, Sapindales, Anacardiaceae. The record is from RefSeq and is a predicted model, not a curated record. The transcript has 2 exons.